UUGACCCACGAAGAGCAUGAUG
Molecule: non-coding RNA, 22 nt
Filed under: Arabidopsis thaliana (thale cress)
Lineage: Eukaryota; Viridiplantae; Streptophyta; Magnoliopsida; Brassicales; Brassicaceae
Source: RNAcentral